This is a long non-coding RNA of Numida meleagris (helmeted guineafowl), 2980 nucleotides long. Lineage: Eukaryota; Metazoa; Chordata; Aves; Galliformes; Numididae. The record is from Ensembl.
UCAUCUGCCGGCGUCCCCCGCCGCUCUCUGCCGUCCCACGCUGCUCUCUGCCGUCCCCCGCCGCUCGCCGCCGUCCCCUGCCGUUCCCCAUCGCCUGCUGUUCCUCCGCUGAAACCACUCGCCCCCUCUUGCUGCCGUCCACCGUCGUCCCCCGUUGUUCCCCGCCACUCGACGCCGUCCCCCGUCGUCCCCCGUUGUUCCCCGCUGCUCACUGCUGUCCCCUGUUGUGCCCUGUCGUUCCCCGCCACACCCUGCCAUUCCCCGUCACUCGCUGCCAUUCCCCGUCAUUCCCCGUGGCUCUCUGUUGUCCCCCGCCACUCGCCGCCGUUCCCCGUCAUUCCCCGCCGCUCUCCGUCUUCCCCCGUCGCUCACCGCCGUCCCCUGCCGUUCACCCGCUGCCGCCGCUUGCCCCCUCUUGCCGCCGUCCCCCGUCGUCCCUCGUUGUUCCCCGAUGCUCAACGCCAUCCCCCGUCGUCCCCCGUUGUUCCCCACUGCUCGCCGCUGUCUCCCGUCGUCCCCUGCUGCUCCCUGCCGUUCCUUGUCGCUCGCUGCCGUUCCCUGUCAUUCCCCACCGCUCUCCAUCGUCACCCGCCGCUUGCCGCUGUUCCCCGUCGUUCCCCGUCAUUCCCCGCUGCUCUCCGUCGUCCCCUGUUGCUUGCCGCUGUCCCUCGCCGCUCCCCGCCGUUUCACCACUGCCGCCGCUCGCCCCCAAUUGCCGCCGUCCCCCGUCGUCUCCCGCUGCUUGAUGCCGUCCCCUGUUGUCCCCUGGCAUCCUCCGUCAUCUGCCGGCGUCCCCCGCCGCUUUCCGCCGUCCCCCGCUGCUCACCGCCGUCCGCCUCCGUUCCCCCGCUGCUUGCCCCCUCUUGCCGCCGUCCCCCGUCGUCCCUCGUUGUUCCCCGCCGGUUGAUGCCAUCCCCCGUCGUCCCCCAUUGUUCCCCGCUGCUCACCACUGUCCCCCGUCGUCCCCCGCCGCUCCCUGCCGUUCCCUGUCACUCACCGCCGUUCCCUGUCAUUCCCUGCCGCUCUCCAUCGUCCCCCGUUGCUCGCCGCCGUCCCCCGCCGCUCCCCGCCGUUUCCCAGCUGCCACCGCUUGCCCCCACUUGUCGCCAUCCCCCGUCACCCCCCCUCGUUCCCCGCCUCUUGCUGCUGUCCCCGGUUGUCCCUUGGCAUCCCCCGUCAUCUGCCGGCGUUCCCCGCCGCUCUCCGGUGUCCGCCGCCACUCGCUGCCAUCCCCCGCCGCUCACCGCUGUCCCCUGCCGUUCCCCCGCUGCCGCCGCUUGCCCCCUCUUGCUGCCGUCCCGUCGUCCCUCGUUGUUCCCUGCCGCUCGACGCCGUCCCCCGUCGUUCCUCGCCGCUCACCGCUGUCCCCUGUUGUCCCCCAUCGUCCCCCGCUGUCCCCCGCCGCUCCCUGCCGUUCCCCGUUGCUCGCUGCUGUUCCCCGCUGCUUGCCGUCAUUCCCCGUCGUCCCCUGCCGUCCCCUGCUGCUCGCCACCGUCCCCUGCCGCUGUCCCCCGCUGUCUCCCUCUGUCCCCUGCCGUCGUUCCCCGCCGUUCCCCAUCGCUCCCCUCCGCUUGCCGCUGUUCCCCGUCGUCCCCUGCUGCUUCCUGCCACUCACCGCCGUCCCCCGCCGCUCCCCGCUGUCCCCCACUGCUCACCACCAUUCCCCGUUGUUCCCUGUCAUUCCAUGCCGCUCGCCAUCGUUCCCCACUGCUCGCCACCGUCUCUUGUCGUCCCCCGUCAUCUCCUGUUGUCCCCCACCACUCACCACCGUUCCCCGUCGUCCCGCGCAAUCCCCCACCGCUUGCCGCCGCUCGCCAGCGUCCCCCGCCGCUCCCUGCCGUUCCCCAUCGCUCGCUGCCAUUCCCCAUCGUUCCCCGUCAUUCCCUGCUGUUCUCCAUCCCCCACGCUGUACCCCGCUGUCCUCCGUUGUUCCCCGUCGCUCCCCGUCGUCCCCCAGCACUCACCGCCGUUCCCCGUCGUCCCCCGCUGCUUGCUGCCGCUCACCGCUGUCCCCCGCUGCUCGCCGCUGUUCCCCGCCGUCCCCUGCCACUCCUUGCCGUUCCGUGUCGCUUGCCGCCGUUCCCCAUCAUUCCCCGCCGCUCUCCGUCAUCCCCCGCCGCUUGCCGCUGUUCCCCGUCGUUCCCCGUCAUUCCCCGCCGCUCUAUGUCGUCCCCCGUUGCUUGCCGCUGUCCCCCGCCGCUCCCCGCCAUUUCCCCACUGCUGCCGCUCGCCCCCACUUGCCGCCGUCCCCCGUCGUCCCCUGCUGCUCGAUGCCGUCCCCCGUUGUCCCCUGGCAUCCUCCGUCAUCUGCCGGCGUCCCCCGCCGCUUUCCGCCCUCCCCCGCCGUUCCCCCGCUGCCGCUGCUUGCCCCCUCUUGGCGCCGUCCCCCGUCGUCCCUCGUUGUUCCCCGCCGCUUGAUGCCGUCCCCCGUCGUUCCCCGUUGUUCCCCGCUGCUCGCCACUGUCCCCCGUUGUCCCCCGCUGCUCCGUGCAGUUCCCCAUCGCUCGCCGCCGUUCCCCGUCAUUCCCCGCCGCUCUCCAUCGUCCCCCGUUGCUCGCCGCCGUCCCCCGCCGCUCCCCGCCGUUUCCCCACUGCCACCGCUUGCCCCCACUUGUCGCCAUCCCCUGUCGUCCCCCGUCGUUCCCCGCCACUCUCUGCUGUCCCCCGUUGUCCCCUGGCAUCCCCCGUCAUCUGCCGGUGUCCUCCGCCGCUCUCCGCCGUCCCCCGCCGCUCGCUGCCGUCCCUCGCCGCUCUAUGUCGUCCCCUGUUGUCCCCUGUCGUCCCCUGUCGUCCCCCGCUGCUCCCUGCAGUUCCUCGUCGCUCGCCGCUGUUCCCCGUCGUCCCCCAGCACUCACCGCUGUUCCCCAUCGUCCCCCGCUGCUUGCUGCCGCUCACCGCUGGCUGUCCCCCGCUGCUCGCCGCUGUUCCCCGCCGCCCCCUGCCACUCCCUGCCGUUCCCUGUUGCUCGCCGCCAUUCCCC